This 2584-nucleotide long non-coding RNA is filed under the name Bemisia tabaci. Its description in RNAcentral is "lncRNA ENSSSA1NGG011930". The record is from RNAcentral. Lineage: Eukaryota; Metazoa; Arthropoda; Insecta; Hemiptera; Aleyrodidae.
GGUCUUUGCUCCAUUUUUGGGGUCAAUGUAAUAGAACUGCACUAAAGUUGCUUGAUAUUUUCUUUUACAGGACAUCAUGUUGGGAACAACAAUGAUGAAGUCUUUCCCAAGAGAAACAAACGGACCAUACAAGAAGGGACAGAGGACAACGAGGAUGAAGUCUUCCUUCCCAAGAAAAAGAAGCGCAUCAUUCAAGGAGAGACAGAGGAAAGGAUACCUCCGAAAGUUGCUGCCUCACUCAAAUUCUUUGGAGCGAAAAAAAGUUGUAAUUCUUCAAUCAUUUUCAACCAUUCUGGACAAAUCUGUGCCUCAAUAAUUGCCUCUAAUUUGACUACGUUUUGCUGCACAGCCUAAGAUACCAUGACAGGUGGUUGAGGGUGGUAUCCCUGAUACGUGCCGUUAGAAGGGCAUCGCUGGCUGCAGGAUGCCCACUGUGAGAUUUGCCCCAUGUGGUUGACAGAUGCAGAGUUAGCACAGGUGAUAUGAGUGCGCUGCUAGGUGCACAUGAGCUGUUGCCGGAGGGCUGCUCUGAUCUAAGCGUGUGGCUUGCCAACACAUGAGCCCCCAGAGGUGAAGACAGAGCCUGCAGAGUGACGCACAAGAAAAAGCGAGAUACUUUAACCGGGCCACUUGCUCUGAAUGUCAUUGUACCUGGGAACACCUCCAAAGAACCUAGGUGACAGAGUGCUGGCUGCGUGGUAGUGAUAUCAUCUCUAUGGGCAAGUGGGCGUCGCUUCAACAAUGAACUGGGUCAGCCCUGCACGACUAGCCAAACCUCGUAUACUACUGCGUUAGCUGUCGGAGCCGUUGACAGCGCAGCAGAAAGAGACAUACAGAAUGAUCAGCGAUUGGUCCUAUCAUUAUUUAAAUCCAAGUUCGUCAAAUGACUGAAACAGAGAUAAUCUUGUGUUCUUGAGUUGUGGGAAACAACUUUCAUGCGAACUGUGAUGUACAGUAUUAAGGAUCAGGAUAUGUGGAUAUGUUUCAUGCUAAUGUUUGUGUGCACCGAGUUGCGCGUUCAAAUAAAGGGUCUAGUAUGACCUAAGGUACCAUGAGAGGUGCUCAAGAUUAAUGGGCUGGUUGAGUGAUAUGCCUCUCUGAGUGUUGUAAGGCCUGGGGUUGAGCUCUGAUGGACAGAGUAGAGCUAGCCAGACAGGAGCAGUGAAGGAUAAAUGCUGAGAAUCGAGAUCAGAGCUUGGAUGACAGAAAGUGGCGUUUGACAUGUAUAAACUCGCAACUAAAAACCCAAAUAAGCCAAGUACGUGUAGCUAUGGUGUCGUUGCCUCGACCGGGCUGUGCUGUGUUGCCAAUUGUUGGAGGAUAGGAUACUUGCCCGGAUGUGGCUACCGCCACUCAUGAUGUAUACGCCUGGCAGGCAAGGGCAGCAGCCAAUGAGAUGUUGAUGCAAGGUUAGCAGCUGCCAUUAGUUGGUGGUUAGCUAUCCUCCCACAGCCUCAUUAAGCAGGUAAGGAAAUACCUAAGUAAAGGCAGAGGGUCUACUUAAACAGCGUGCUUAAUUUUUUGCAACUUUGAGCUGCUUAUUGCACGGUUUUAAUACGGUUUAUCCUUAAUAGUUACCACAGUUUCCUCUGAAUCACUCAACAAAUAGAUUUGCACCGAAUGAAGCCAGGAAUGUAAAUUCUAUAUGUAAAUUGUUUAACUGCUGAGUCUAAGCUGAAUUAGCGUUCGUUUCUUCAUUCCAGCUCCUAUUCCCUGCUACUAUUUCUAAUGCACUGACAUUAAUGUUUAUUUUGACGGCAAUACAAACAUAAUGAAUCCUUUAAAUGCUUUCUCUAAAAUUGUUAGGCCCCUUCUAGGCAUACUGCAUACUUUUAACUGAAUUUCAUUUCGCAUUGAAAAUCAGACCAUUGAAACGGAACCUGGUGAACUUCUGAUUGGAGUAACUGCAUUAUGUACGUCCAUGUUCUUUCAUUGAUUCAUAAAAAAGUUGAUGCUUCUAAGUAUUUCUUUGAAUUUUGUUGCAGAUUCAAACAGAUAAAAAAGGUACUUUUCACAAUGUCAUUUUCCACUCUGAUAAGGCCAAGCCGCUCCUGGAGAAAAAUCGACUGAUCGAAAUUGAUGGCACCUUUAAGGUCGUUCCCAAGAUUUUGCAUUUUUACCAGCUUCUCACUGUUUUAGUGGUGUACAAUGGCAUCGUAAGUACCUCUUUAAAUGCCUCUAUUUCUGCUCACCAGCCGCGUAGCUCCUGAAGAAAUCCUUCCAUUUUACAUUACUUCCCUCCUUUAUUUUUUAUGAGAACUGGCCAAAAAUUUGGAACUCCGCACCAUUCAGCUCAAGUGUACAGAAGCAGACAAAUUUUUCAAUUAAGGACUCAAGAUUCUUGUCACUGUGCUCUGAGGUAGAGUAAGUAGGAAAAAUGUAAUUUGACAUUAAUUAACUGCUCUAUGGUAGCAAGUUUGCGCAAUGAUUCAAAAAGUGCCCUACAAUUUUCUCACAUUUUAAAAAACAUGACAAUGAGUCCGUUACUUGCAAGUGAUGGAGCCAAGUGAAUAGACUUACGAUGAGUAAAAUCACUCCAAAAACAUGAUGGGCACAUCGGAAACAUGUAAAAUCCAGUCCUUAG